CAGUUCCUACGGGAGGCAGCAGUGAGGAAUAUUGGUCAAUGGUCGGGAGACUGAACCAGCCAAGCCGCGUGAGGGAGGAAGGUACAGAGUAUCGUAAACCUCUUUUGUCAGGGAACAAAGACUGGGACGCGUCCCCGGAUGAGUGUACCUGAAGAAAAAGCAUCGGCUAACUCCGUGCCAGCAGCCGCGGUAAUACGGAGGAUGCGAGCGUUAUCCGGAUUUAUCGGGUUUAAAGGGUGCGCAGGCGGUCUGUUAAGUCAGCGGUCAAAGCACGGGGCUAAACACCGGCCUGCCG
RNAcentral lists this ribosomal RNA (295 nucleotides) under uncultured bacterium. RNAcentral describes it as "partial 16S ribosomal RNA". It matches the Rfam family "Bacterial small subunit ribosomal RNA", at positions 333 to 626 of the family's 1533-position model. The record is from RNAcentral.